CCUACGGGAGGCAGCAGUGGGGAAUAUUGCGCAAUGGGCGAAAGCCUGACGCAGCGACGCCGCGUGAGGGAUGAAGGUCUUCGGAUCGUAAACCUCUGUCAGCCGGGAAGCACGGUCACUGUGCUAAUCAGCAGUGAAUUGACGGUACCUGCAAAGGAAGCACCGGCUCACUCCGUGCCAGCAGCCGCGGUAAUACGGGGGGUGCGGGCGUUAAUCGGAAUUACUGGGCGUAAAGCGCUCGUAGGCGGUAUGUCAAGUCAAGGGGGAAAUGCCCGCGCUCAACGUGGGAACUGCCUUUGAAACUGGCAAGCUGGAGUGUGUGAGAGGAUAGUGGAAUGCCAGGUGUAGGAGUGAAAUCCGUAGAUAUCUGGAGGAACAUCAGUGGCGAAGGCGACUAUCUGGCACAUAACUGACGCUGAGGAGCGAAAGCGUGGGUAGCAAACAGGAUUAGAUACCCGGGUAGUC
This 465-nucleotide ribosomal RNA is filed under the name uncultured bacterium. RNAcentral's name for it is "partial 16S ribosomal RNA". It matches the Rfam family "Bacterial small subunit ribosomal RNA", at positions 338 to 795 of the family's 1533-position model. The record is from RNAcentral.